RNAcentral lists this long non-coding RNA (2301 nucleotides) under Homo sapiens (human). RNAcentral describes it as "non-protein coding lnc-RPS29-3:1". The record is from RNAcentral. Lineage: Eukaryota; Metazoa; Chordata; Mammalia; Primates; Hominidae.
GGUUCUUAACCAGCAGAGAUUUUGUCCCCCAGGGGACAUUUGGCAAUGUUGUUGCUGCCAGCAUCUAGUGGCUAGAGGCCAGAGACACUGACAAAUAUUCUACAAUGGACAGGGCAGCCCCUCAGAACAAAGCAUCAUUCAACUGUAAAUGUCAACAGUACCUAGUUGAGGAACCCUAAUCCAGAAUAAUACACCUAGUUCAUUCUGCCUACUCCAGAAUUCAAACCCUGGUUUUAAGGGCUAAAACCGGGAUUUCCAGUUAAAAAUUUAGGUUUUUUUUUUUUUUUAUAUAUAUAUUAUUAGAAAAAUAGGCUAGGCACAGUGGCUCACACCUGUAAUCCCAGCACUUUGGGAGGCUGAAGUGGGUGGCUCACCUGAAGUCAGGAGUUCGAGGCCAGCCUGGUCAACAUGGCAAAAUCCCAUGUCUACUGAAAAUACAAAAAUUAGCCGGGCGUGGUGGUGCAUGCCUGUAUUCCCAGCUACUUGGGAGGCUGAGACAUGAGAAUUGCUUGAAUCCGGGAGGCGGAGAUUGCAGUUAGCCAACAUCGUGCCAUUGCACUUUCCAUUUUUAUUCCAGGGAAGUCUUGCCUCAACUGAUUGUAGGCAAAUUAGCUGAUGGGGCUUCACAGCUGUGAUUUACUCACAGUCUUCAUGGGCACAAAGAUUGUCUGCUUCUUUAUUUUACUUUAUUAUUAUUAUUAUUAUUAUUUUUGAGACAGUCUUCGCUCUAUUGCCCAGGCUGGAGUGCACUGGUACUAUCUUGGCUCACUGCAACCUCCACCUCCUGCAUCAGCCACCUGAGUAGCUGGGAUUACAGGUGCAUGCCACCAUGGCCAGCUACUUUUUUUUUUUUUUGUAUUUUUAGUAGAGAUAGGGUUUCACUAUGUUGCCCAGGCUGGUCUUGAACUCCUGGCCUCAUGUGAUCCGCCUGCCUCAGCCUCCCAAGGUGCUGGCAUUACAGGGGUGAACUACUGCGUCUGGCCCUGUCUGUUGCUUUUAUACAUGGCUAAAAUGGAGGAUUUUUAAUGCCACCCAGAAUUUCAAGGAUCAUAAUAUAGUUCCUAAUAUUUUUAUGCUUUGAAGGGAGAACUCAAAAUAAAGAUUUUGAGAUUUUGUUUUUUGCUUCUUGUGUCCUUUACAUAUAAAAAUUAAAAAGAGGUCCAAACACACUUCUCCAGUUGGGAAAGAGUUAUGUUUUGUCUCUAAUGUGAAACUGUGGAACUCUUGUCUUAAUUUUGGCUAGUGGUAAACCAAGGAAAACUGACCGAGCUGACGCAGAGUUGGAGAGCCCAAGUUCCUCAGUCCUUCACAGCCUCCCCUUGGUGAAUUGUGAUGUGUAGGCUAACAUAAAAGCUUUGCGGGAUUUGCCAGGUCAAAUGGGAUUUUCACACUUUGUACUGAUUGGGAGAUGAUAGUGGUUUCUGUAAUCGGUGCCUCAGGGAUUUUUAAAAUGUGUAUUAGACAAAAACCAUCUUAAGAACUUUUGUGAUUAACAAGAGGUAGAAGUCAGAAACUGCUGGAAAGAAAUAGGAAGAUUUAAUAUAAAAGCUAAAUGAUCUUUGCAAUCUCUUCGCAGGAUUUUUAGAAACAGUAGAGGCAGUUUAGGUACUCUAGCAUGCGGAAGUAUGAUAGUUCAUUUUGAUCAUCCAAGAGGGAAACAAAACCUGAAUGCAUUAGAUAUGGGAAUUUCUCUGCCUGAGUGGACUUACAACACUGCUAUACUAGUUUAUUUUUUUCUUUUCUCACUCUCCUUAUUCCUUCUUAUAAAUAUAAGUAAAUUUUGGGGGGCAAUGGUCUGAUAUUGUGUAUUCUGAUUUUUCAAUAUUUUAAGAGAGUUUAAUACUUUUUGCAUAAGAAUAAAACAAAAUAUCAAAAUUGUGUCUUAUGAAUUGUAUAAAACUUUAUGACUGUCUAAAUAAAGUUAUUUGUUUUUCAAAAAAUACUAGAGAGUAUAAAGUCCCAGAGAGUUUACAUCCUUAUUUAUUUAUUUUUUGAACGAGCUAGUGAGCUUCUGCAUUUUGAGAGUACUGGACAUGUAUUUGUUCUGCAGUGGACUGACGAAAGGGAGACAGUCUAUGUUAAAAAUGUUUAUCUGGGAAUAAACUAACAUGAGAAGGCCUGCCAUGGUUAGUAGCUCUUUUAUUUUCUAACAUAGGCAUUACAAAGGGAAAGGGCUUGGUUCCAGGACUCUGGCUCCAAGGGAAGGGUUGUCAGCAGAUCCUUGAACGUUUCUGUUUCUGGCUGGACAGUACAAAAGAUUUAUCUCUGAUUAAUAUUCAGGGAUAAAUUCCUCCAGCUAUC